RNAcentral lists this non-coding RNA (24 nucleotides) under Arabidopsis thaliana (thale cress). Lineage: Eukaryota; Viridiplantae; Streptophyta; Magnoliopsida; Brassicales; Brassicaceae. The record is from RNAcentral.
AGGCAUGGUUGCAAGGGAUGUCUC